This 544-nucleotide ribosomal RNA is filed under the name Hemiselmis virescens. RNAcentral describes it as "partial Bacterial large subunit ribosomal RNA". It matches the Rfam family "Bacterial large subunit ribosomal RNA", at positions 1123 to 1673 of the family's 2925-position model. The record is from RNAcentral. Lineage: Eukaryota; Cryptophyceae; Cryptomonadales; Hemiselmidaceae.
UUAAAGAGUGCGUAACAGCUCACUAGUCGAGCGAUCGGGCGUGGAUAAUAAUCGGGCAUUAAGCAUACUACCGAAGCAAUGGCAUCGAAAGAUGGGUAGGGGAGCAUUCUAAGGGCGUCGAAGGUGUACUGUGAGGUAUGCUGGAGCGCUUAGAAAAGAAAAUGUAGGCAUAAGUAACGAUAAAGCAGGCGAGAAACCUGCUCACCGAUAGACUAAGGUUUCCUGAACAACGCUAAUCGGUUCAGGGUUAGUCGGGGCCUAAGGCGAACCCGAAUGGGGUAGUCGAUGGACAAUUGGUUAAUAUUCCAAUACUUGUAUUUAUUGCGAUGGGGUGACGGAGUAGUGAAAGUCCUGCGUACUGACGGAAUAGUACGUUAAAACUUGUAGGUAUAAGAUUCGUAGGUAAAUCCGCUUAUCUUGCUGAAAGUGAUAGUACUCUAAGUCUUCGGACGAGGAGAUAUGGACCUAAUCAGACUUCCAAGAAAAACCUCUAAGCUUCAGAUAAAUACAACCCGUACCGCAAACCGACACAGGUAGUCAAGGA